GUGAGUAACACGUAGACAACCUGCCCCCUCGGCCCCGGGACAACCUCUGGAAACGGAGGCUGAUACCGGACGGGCAGGAGAGGGGCAUCCCUCUCCUGUGAAAGGCCCUGCAAGGGGCCGCGAGGGGAUGGGUCUGCGGUGCAUUAGCUAGUUGGCGGGGCAGCGGCCCACCAAGGCGACGAUGCAUAGCCGGCCUGAGAGGGCGGACGGCCACAUUGGGACUGAGACACGGCCCGGACUCCUACGGGAGGCAGCAUG
This 258-nucleotide ribosomal RNA is filed under the name uncultured bacterium. RNAcentral describes it as "partial 16S ribosomal RNA". It matches the Rfam family "Bacterial small subunit ribosomal RNA", at positions 106 to 353 of the family's 1533-position model. The record is from RNAcentral.